This is a long non-coding RNA of Daucus carota subsp. sativus, 636 nucleotides long. RefSeq lists it as uncharacterized. The transcript is spliced from 3 exons. The record is from RefSeq and is a predicted model, not a curated record. Lineage: Eukaryota; Viridiplantae; Streptophyta; Magnoliopsida; Apiales; Apiaceae.
UAAUUCUCGCUGAAACAGGUGGGACAAGCCCAUUCCAUUCUCUCGACUAAAACAGAAAAUUAAAAACACCCUCUCUGUUUACACUUUACACCUGCGCUGUUCUAUCUCUCCCACUCCACCGAUCUCAAAAAGCUCAGUGUCCGACAUUUCAACGAUUCUUCUACCAUUUUCAACGAUUUUCAAACCUCAAUCUAUCAAAGCAUACAGAAAUUUUCGUCAGGGAUCGCAUAGUUGCAUGACAAGCCAGCAAUUUGUGGAUUUUAUACAUGAGCAGCUGCAAUCGGAAUUUCGCAAGAUUGGAACCGAUAGGUGGGAGUUCGCAAAUGAAAGUUUUCUGCCCGGGCAACGGCAUCUGUUGAAGAACAUAUAUAGGCGCAAUUCACCUCAUUCUCAACAGGCCGAGAAUACAGUUGGAUCCUCACUUGAAUUACGGAAACCAGCAGUUGAAGCCCUGCAGGUGUUGCGGUUCUACAGUAUUUUAUUUGUAAAUUAUGGAGAAGAAUUGGCGGUGGCCAAAGUUUGGAUUUUAUUUGUAAAUUUUUAAUAUUUAUCAUAGUUGAUUUAGGUAUUAAUUAUUUGUGUAAUGAAAUGGGAAGUAUGCUAUUGAUAUGGAAAUUAAUUAAUUUAUGUAUUUAA